RNAcentral lists this ribosomal RNA (508 nucleotides) under uncultured bacterium. Its description in RNAcentral is "partial 16S ribosomal RNA". It matches the Rfam family "Bacterial small subunit ribosomal RNA", at positions 28 to 523 of the family's 1533-position model. The record is from RNAcentral.
GAUGAACGCUAGCUACAGGCUUAACACAUGCAAGUCGAGGGGAAACGACAUCGAAAGCUUGCUUUUGAUGGGCGUCGACCGGCGCACGGGUGAGUAACGCGUAUCCAACCCGCCCACCACUUGGGGAUAACCUUGAGAAAGUAAGACUAAUACCCAAUGACGUCUCUAGAAGACAUCUGAAGGAGAUUAAAGAUUUAUCGGUGAUGGAUGGGGAUGCGUCUGAUUAGCUUGUUGGCGGGGUAACGGCCCACCAAGGCGACGAUCAGUAGGGGUUCUGAGAGGAAGGUCCCCCACAUUGGAACUGAGACACGGUCCAAACUCCUACGGGAGGCAGCAGUGAGGAAUGUUGGUCAAUGGGCGAGAGCCUGAACCAGCCAAGUAGCGUGCAGGAUGACGGCCCUAUGGGUUGUAAACUGCUUUUAUAAGGGAAUAAAGUGAGUCUCGUGAGACUUUUUGCAUGUACCUUAUGAAUAAGGACCGGCUAAUUCCGUGCCAGCCGCCGCGGUAA